This 1426-nucleotide ribosomal RNA is filed under the name metagenome. Its description in RNAcentral is "bacterial LSU rRNA". It matches the Rfam family "Bacterial large subunit ribosomal RNA", at positions 1511 to 2925 of the family's 2925-position model. The record is from RNAcentral.
CUGAAGCGUGUAGGUCCCGCAAGGGGCCGAGACGUGACCACGAGACUGCGGGGCAACCCAAGGUCAAGUUUCGUAGAGUCGACAGGCAAGAAAAGCUUUCGGGGGAGCAUACCGACGUCCGUACCGUAAACCGACACAGGUGGGUGAGGCGAGUAGCCUCAGGUGAACGAGUGAAACGUGGUCAAGGAACUCGGCAUAAUGAUCCCGUAACUUCGGAAGAAGGGAUGUCCAUCUUGGUGAGGUGUACAGCCAAGCUAGGGUGGAUCGCAGUGAAUCGGCCCAAGCGACUGUUUAGCAAAAACACAGGUGUGUGCCAAGCCGCACAAGGCGCCGUAUACACACUGACGCCUGCCCGGUGCCGGAAGGUUAAGGGGAGAGGUUAGCCGCAAGGCGACGCUUUGAGCCGAAGCCCCGGUAAACGGCGGCCGUAACAAUAACGGUCCUAAGGUAGCGAAAUUCCUUGUCGGGUAAGUUCCGACCUGCACGAAUGGCGUAACGACUUGGGCACUGUCUCGACCACGUGCUCGGCGAAAUGGCAGUCUCGGUGAGGAUUCCGAGUCCCCGCGACAGGACAAAAAGACCCCAUGCACCUUUACUGCAGCUUGUCAUUGGACGUUGCACUACACUGUGUAGCAUAGGUGGGAGUCGAUGAGGCCGGGGCGCUAGCUCUGGCGGAGACAUCAGUGAAAUACCACCCUGGGUUGUGCGACGUUCUCACUGCGAUGAACACACUUCAUCCAGGACCGUGGCAGGUAGGCAGUUUGACUGGGGCGGUCGCCUCCGAAACAGUAACGGAGGCGCGCGCAAGGUUGGCUCAGCGCGGACGGUACUCGCGCUUAUAGAGUGUAACGGCAGAAGCCAGCCUGACGGUGAGACCGACGGGUCGAGCCGCCACGAAAGUGGGCCGUAGUGAUCCGGUAGCCCGGGGUGGAGCGGCUAUCGCGCAACGGAUAAAAGGUACGCUGGGGAUAACAGGCUUAUCGCGCCCGAGAGUUCACAUCGACGGCGCGGUUUGGCACCUCGAUGUCGGCUUAUCACAUCCUGGGGCUGGAGAAGGUCCCAAGGGUCCGGCUGUUCGCCGGUUAAAGUGGUACAUGAGCUGGGUUCAGGACGUCGUGAGACAGUUCGGUCUGUAUCCGUCGUGGGCGUUGGAGUGUUGAGGGGAGCGGACUCUAGUACGAGAGGACCGAGUCGGACGACCCGCUCGUGUCCCGGUUGUCCUGCCAAGGGCACCGCCGGGUAGCGAUGGUCGGCUGUGAUAACCGCUGAAAGCAUCUAAGUGGGAAGCACGCCCCAAGAUGAACACUCCCGAGGGUAUAACCCUCCUAAAGGGCCGGGGCAGACCACCCCGUCGAUAGGCCGCCCGUGGACGUCCAGCAAUGGAUUCCAAGCGCAGCGGUCCUAAUCGCCCGUGCGGCUUGACUAC